CACUCGCCUAACGAGUGGGCGUCCGGCGGAAACUACAGGGCUUGGGACCGGAAGACUUGAGGGGUACGUCUGGGGUANGAGUGAAAUCCUGUAAUCCUGGACGGACCGCCGAUAGCGAAAGCACCUCAAGACGACGGAUCCGACAGUGAGGGACGAAAGCUAGGGUCUCGAACCGGAUUAGAUACCCGGGUAGUCCUAGC
This 200-nucleotide ribosomal RNA is filed under the name uncultured archaeon. RNAcentral's name for it is "partial 16S ribosomal RNA". It matches the Rfam family "Archaeal small subunit ribosomal RNA", at positions 552 to 751 of the family's 1478-position model. The record is from RNAcentral.